Long non-coding RNA from Cyprinodon variegatus (sheepshead minnow), 423 nucleotides. RefSeq lists it as uncharacterized. The record is from RefSeq and is a predicted model, not a curated record. Lineage: Eukaryota; Metazoa; Chordata; Actinopteri; Cyprinodontiformes; Cyprinodontidae. The transcript is spliced from 3 exons.
UUUCCCCCCCCUGUCUGUUGUUUUAGUUGGUAUCAUCAGAGACUCCAGCUGCAGAGCCUCCUGUUGCAGUGGUCCCCCCUGUGGAAACAGCCUCCCAGCCAUCACCACCUCCGCCUCCCCUGCCUCCCCCGCCUGCAGAGAGGACCGGGGGGAUUGGGGACUCCAGACCUCCCUCCUUUCAUCCCAAUGCUACGGGCAGCGUGGAGACGUUGGACGAGCAGACUGAAACCGAGUCUGUGGUUUCCUUCAGGAGGGAGAGGCCCCGGCACAGAGAGAACGUGGAGCAGCACGGCCCCCGCAUGAACGGUCAGAGCCGCCUGGAGCGCCACCUGGCAGGAUACGAAAGCUCCAGUACGGUGAUGAGCAGCGAGCUGGAGACCACCAGUUUCUGUGACUCUGAUGAUGACGACACCAUGAGCAGGU